Long non-coding RNA from Homo sapiens (human), 2643 nucleotides. Ensembl annotates it as PENK antisense RNA 1. Its record names the gene PENK-AS1. Lineage: Eukaryota; Metazoa; Chordata; Mammalia; Primates; Hominidae. The record is from Ensembl.
AACACUCACCAGGAAGUUGAUGUCGGCCGGGCGCACUAGGCGGUAGCUGCACGUCGCGCAAUCCUGGCUGCAUUCGGCCCGCACGGUCGCCAGGAGCCCGGGGCCGAGCAACAGCAGCCAAGUGCAAAGUGUCAGGAACCGCGCCAUGGACUGCGAGGAGAGAGGGACGCGUGCUUCGAGCCUGCCUGGGCGCAGAACGGGGUCCCUCGGCAGGACCCUCGCCGCGACAGCCUCAGCAGGGGAUCGUCGAGCAAAAGCCCGCAGGAAUGCUCCUUUCUGGGGCCCCGCCCUCCCGGCCGACAGCUUUUAGGUAGACGUGGAGGCGACUCAGAUCGCCUCGCGGUUCCCGGGAUGGCGCGGUCGCCCCCAACGCGAGGCUGCCUGGGGCACCCGGCUCUUUUCCUGGGCGUCCGCGGCCCAGGGCAAGAUUCCGGAGAGAACGCCGCAGACCAGGGGCGAGAGAGCGGGAGCCGGGGGAGGCAGGACAUUGACUGGGGUCACAAAGAAGAACCAGGGAACGCUGUUGGGGAACCCAUGCAAUGAAAUGUGAAGGGAAAGAGGGCGGGCAGACGUCCCCAAACCCGCUCAGCAAAGACAAGCUUCGGGCAAAUUCACUCACGUUGACGCUGUUCGGAUGGAGCAGGCCAAUUGGAAAAGCCGGGUUCAGACACGACUCUAGAGGGAAGAGAAGAAGGAAGCUGAACUGACACGAAACAAAAGAAGUCCGUUGUUUUGGAUUGAGUUCCAUACUUGGCUGGCCCAGAGGUUGAUCUCACCACCAUUCAGAUAUCCAAGAAGAAGCCACCUGUUGGAUUUAAGAAAACCCAGUCACCAAUAAUGUGGAAUCCAUUUCGUGGAGACAAGCUACUUUUAGUCAAAAAUUGUAAGGCACGGUUUGUCAAGAUGGCCGAUACACAACAGCUCCAGUCUACGCAUCCCAGCAUGAGCGAUGCAGAAGACGGGUGAUUUCUGCAUUUCCAACUGAGGUACCGGGUUCAUCUCACUGAAGCUUGUCGGACAGUGGGCUCAGGACAGUGGGUGAAGCCCACUGAGCAUGAGCCGAAGCAGGGCGAGGCAUCGCCUCACCCAGGAAGUGCAAGGGAUCAGAGAAUUCCCUUUCCUAGCCAAGGAAAGCUGUGACAGAUGGCACCUGGAAAAUUAGGUCACUCCCACCUUAAUAUUGCGCUUUUCCAGUGGUCUUAGCAAACAACACACCAGGAGUUUAUAUCCCGCGCCUGGCCCAGAGGGUCCCACACCCACAGAGUCUAGCUCAUUGCUAGCAGAGCAGCCUGAGAUCGAACUGCAAGGCAGCAGCAAGGCUGGGAGAGGAGCACCCACCAUUGCUGAGGCUUGAGUAGGUAAACAAAGCGGCUAGGAAACUUGAACUGGGUGGAGCCCACUGCAGCUCAAGGAGGCCUGCCUGCCUCUGUAGACUCCACCUCUGCAGCCAGGGCACAGCUGAACAAAAGGCAGCAGAAACCUCUGCAGACUUAAAUGUCCCUGUCUGACAGUUUGGAAGAGAGUAGUGGUUCUCCCAGCACGCAGCUGGAGAUCUGAGAAUGGACAAACUGCCUCCUCAAGUGGGUCCCUGACCCCCAAGUAGCCUAGCUGGGAGGCAUUCCCCAGUAGGGGCAGAAUGACACCUCACAUGGCCGGGUACCCCUCUGAGACGAAGCUUCCAGGGGAAAGAUCAGGCAGCAACAUUUGCUGUUCAGCAAUAUUCGCUGUUCUGCAGCUUCUGCUGCUGAUACCUAGGCAAACAGCGUCUGGAGUGGACCUCCAGCAAACUCCAACAGACCUGCAGAUGAGGAUCCUGACUGUUAGAAGGAAAACUAACAAACAGCAAGGACAUCCACACCAAAACCCCAUCUGUACGUCACCAUCAUCAAAGAACAAAAUGAUAAAACCACAAAAAUGGGGAAAAAACAGAGCAGAGAAGCUGAAAAUUCUAAAAAUCAGAGUGCCUCUCCCCCUCCAAAGGAAUGCAGCUCCUCGUCAACAAUGGAACAAAGCUGGAUGGAGAGUGACUUUGAUGAGUUGAGAGAAGAAGGCUUCAGACGAUCAAACUUCUCCGAGCUAAAGAAGGAAGAUCGAACCCAUCCCAAAGAAGCUAAAAAACUUUAAAAAAGAUUAGACAAAUGGCUAACUAGAAUAUCCAGUGUAGAGAAGUCCUUAAAUGAUCUGUUGGAGCUGAAAACCAUGGCAUGAGAACUACGCGAUGCAUGCACAAACUUCAGUAGCCCUGCAAGAGCUCCUGAGGGAAGCACUAAACAUGGAAAGGAACAACUGGUAUCAGCCACUGCAAAAACAUGCCAAAUUGUAAAGACCAUCAAGGCUAGGAAGAAACUGCAUCAACUAAUGAGCAAAAUAACCAGCUAACAUCAUAAUGACACAAUCGAAUUCACACAUAACAAUAUUAACCUUAAAUGUAAAUGGGCUAAAUUCUCCAAUUAAAAGACACAGAUUGGCAAAUUGGAUAAACAGUCAAGACCCAUCAGUGUGCUGUAUUCAGGAGACCCAUCUCACGUGCAGAGACACACAUAGGCUCAAAAUAAAGGGAAGGAGGAAGAUCUACCAAGCAAAUGGAAAACAAAAAAAGGCAGGGGUUGCAAUCCUAGCCUCUGACAAAACAGACUUUAAACC